GACGAACGCUGGCGGCGUGCUUAACACAUGCAAGUCGAGCGAUGAAGCACCUUCGGGUGUGAAUUAGCGGCGAACGGGUGAGGAACACGUGAGAAAUCCGCCUUCAACUCAGGGAUAACUCCGUGAAAACGGGGCUAAUACCGGAUAUGAAACCUGCGGGCAUCCGCGGGUUUGGAAAGUUUUUCGGUUGAAGAUGAUCUCGCGGCCUAUCAGCUUGUUGGUGAGGUAAUGGCUCACCAAGGCGACGACGGGUAGCCGGCCUGAGAGGGCGACCGGCCACACUGGGACUGAGACACGGCCCAGACUCCUACGGGAGGCAGCAGUAGGGAAUAUUGGGCAAUGGAGGAAACUCUGACCCAGCGACGCCGCGUGCGGGAUGAAGGCCUUCGGGUUGUAAACCGCUUUCAGCAGGGAAGAAGCGAAAGUGACGGUACCUGCAGAAGAAGCACCGGCUAACUAUGUGCCAGCAGCCGCAGUAA
RNAcentral lists this ribosomal RNA (479 nucleotides) under uncultured bacterium. RNAcentral describes it as "partial 16S ribosomal RNA". It matches the Rfam family "Bacterial small subunit ribosomal RNA", at positions 28 to 523 of the family's 1533-position model. The record is from RNAcentral.